AAAAAUUAAAUAUCUGAUUAGUAUUUUAAUAUUGAUUACAUGUUGAAUAAUGUUUUCAAUAGAUUCGGUCAAAGAAAAUAUUCAAAUUAAUUUUAUCAGUUUCUUCUUACUUUUUUAAUGUGGCUACUAAAAAAAUCUGAAAUAAAGGCAGGACACAGUGGUUCAUGCCUGUAAUCCCAACACAUUAGGAGGCCAAGGCGGAAGGAUCACUGUGACCAGGAAUUUGAGGCUUCAGUGAGCUAUGAUCCCACCGCUGCACUCCAGCCUGGGUGACAGAGUGAGACCCUAUCUCUUUAAAAAAGAAGAAAAGUAAAGAAAAUUUAAAAUUAAACAUAUGGCUCUUUUAAAAAAUAAAAUUACAUAUAAACUCUCAUUAUAUUUCUAUUGGACAAUGCCAAUCUGGACAUUACAUCACUUCCUGAGACUACUCUGUAUGAAAAUGAGCUAUGCCUUCUGUGCUGUAUACUAACUGAUUAUGUUUAGGGUAUAAUAGUCUGUGUAUUAUAAAGGACUGCAUCAUAAUUUCAGGAAUUCAGUAUUUUGUCAUGAAUUUCAGCAGUUCACUAUGAAAGUAGAAGUGAAUUUUACCUGCAUCUGUCUCAGUUGGAGCUGGGAAGAGUAAGGUGGUGAAAAGUCCAGUAUUCCUGGAUCUGUGUGAGAUUGCCUCAUUGAGGCAUCUUACUCAUAAUCUCUUCUGUCACUAAAGAGAAUCAUGAGCCAAGUGAUAGCGUGAGAACCCCUACAACAGUCUUUCCAUUUUGUAGUUUCCCUGUCCACUAAAAGAGAGAACUCUAGAAGGAAUGGAACAAAAAUAAAGGGUAAAACAUUAAAGGAGUGUAAAUAACUCUCCAGGAAUUACACUGUAUUUGAUGGUGAAUUUGAUAGGAGUCCCACAUUGUCACCUAGGAUAAUUUCUCCCUCUUGUUAAUUGCUGACAUUUAAAGACAUACAGAACUCUUUUAACUUUUUAUUUUUCUAAAGACAAUAUCCUAAUAUAUGAGGUAUUGUGAAUUAUU
This 1016-nucleotide long non-coding RNA is filed under the name Homo sapiens (human). RNAcentral's name for it is "HSALNT0407657". Lineage: Eukaryota; Metazoa; Chordata; Mammalia; Primates; Hominidae. The record is from RNAcentral.